RNAcentral lists this ribosomal RNA (253 nucleotides) under uncultured bacterium. RNAcentral describes it as "partial 16S ribosomal RNA". It matches the Rfam family "Bacterial small subunit ribosomal RNA", at positions 524 to 776 of the family's 1533-position model. The record is from RNAcentral.
UACGUAGGGCGCAAGCGUUAUCCGGAAUUAUUGGGCGUAAAGAGCUCGUAGGCGGUUUGUCGCGUCUGCCGUGAAAGUCCGGGGCUCAACUCCGGAUCUGCGGUGGGUACGGGCAGACUAGAGUGAUGUAGGGGAGACUGGAAUUCCUGGUGUAGCGGUGAAAUGCGCAGAUAUCAGGAGGAACACCGAUGGCGAAGGCGGAUCUCUGGGCCUUGCCUGACGCUGAGGCGCGAAAGCUAGGGGAGCGAACAGG